GAUGAAGAACGCAGCGAAAUGCGAUAAGUAGUGUGAAUUGCAGAAUUCAGUGAAUCAUCGAAUCUUUGAACGCACAUUGCGCCCGCCAGUAUUCUGGCGGGCAUGCCUGUUCGAGCGUCAUUUCAACCCUCAAGCCCAGCUUGGUGUUGGGGAUCGGCACAGGCGCCCUCGGGCGCCAGCCGUCCCCUAAAUCUAGUGGCGGUCCCGCUGCAGCCUCCUCUGCGUAGUAGUUUUCUCCUCGCAAGGGCAGCUCGGUGGCGACCUCGCCGUAAAACCCCCAACUUCUGAAAGGUUGACCUCGAAUCAGGUAGGAAUACCCGCUGAACUUAAGCAUAUCAAUAAGCGGAGGA
Molecule: unclassified non-coding RNA, 350 nt
Filed under: soil metagenome
Description: partial contains 5.8S ribosomal RNA, internal transcribed spacer 2, and large subunit ribosomal RNA
Rfam family: 5.8S ribosomal RNA (bases 1-120)
Source: RNAcentral